AUUGAACGCUGGCGGCAGGCCUAACACAUGCAAGUCGAACGAUAACAGGAAGACGCUUGCUUCUUUGCUGACGAGUGGCGGACGGGUGAGUAAUGUCUGGGAAACUGCCUGAUGGAGGGGGAUAACUACUGGAAACGGUAGCUAAUACCGCAUAACGUCGCAAGACCAAAGAGGGGGACCUUCGGGCCUCUUGCCAUCGGAUGUGCCCAGAUGGGAUUAGCUAGUAGGUGGGGUAACGGCUCACCUAGGCGACGAUCCCUAGCUGGUCUGAGAGGAUGACCAGCCACACUGGAACUGAGACACGGUCCAGACUCCUACGGGAGGCAGCAGUGGGGAAUAUUGCACAAUGGGCGCAAGCCUGAUGCAGCCAUGCCGCGUGUAUGAAGAAGGCCUUCGGGUUGUAAAGUACUUUCAGCGGGGAGGAAGGGAGUAAAGUUAAUACCUUUGCUCAUUGACGUUACCCGCAGAAGAAGCACCGGCUAACUCCGUG
Molecule: ribosomal RNA, 490 nt
Filed under: uncultured bacterium
Lineage: Bacteria
Description: partial 16S ribosomal RNA
Rfam family: Bacterial small subunit ribosomal RNA
Source: RNAcentral